UACGGGGGGGGCAAGCGUUGUUCGGAAUUACUGGGCGUAAAGGGCUCGUAGGCGGCCAACUAAGUCAGACGUGAAAUCCCUCAGCUUAACUGGGGAACUGCGUCUGAUACUGGAUGGCUUGGAUUCGGGAGAGGGAUGCGGAAUUCCAGGUGUAGCGGUGAAAUGCGUAGAUAUCUGGAGGAACACCGGUGGCGAAGGCGGCAUCCUGGACCGACAUUGACGCUGAGGAGCGAAAGCCAGGGGAG
Molecule: ribosomal RNA, 245 nt
Filed under: uncultured bacterium
Lineage: Bacteria
Description: partial 16S ribosomal RNA
Rfam family: Bacterial small subunit ribosomal RNA
Source: RNAcentral